GUAGUCCACGCCGUAAACGUUGGGCGCUAGGUGUGGGGAACCUUCCACGUUCUCCGUGCCGCAGCUAACGCAUUAAGCGCCCCGCCUGGGGAGUACGGCCGCAAGGCUAAAACUCAAAGGAAUUGACGGGGGCCCGCACAAGCGGCGGAGCAUGUGGCUUAAUUCGACGCAACGCGAAGAACCUUACCAAGGCUUGACAUACACCGGAAACUGCCAGAGAUGGUGGCCCCGCAAGGUCGGUGUACAGGUGGUGCAUGGUUGUCGUCAGCUCGUGUCGUGAGAUGUUGGGUUAAGUCCCGCAACGAGCGCAACCCUCGUCCUAUGUUGCCAGCGAGUAAUGUCGGGGACUCAUAGGAGACUGCCGGGGUCAACUCGGA
This 377-nucleotide ribosomal RNA is filed under the name uncultured bacterium. RNAcentral's name for it is "bacterial SSU rRNA". It matches the Rfam family "Bacterial small subunit ribosomal RNA", at positions 790 to 1167 of the family's 1533-position model. The record is from RNAcentral.